Molecule: ribosomal RNA, 253 nt
Filed under: uncultured bacterium
Lineage: Bacteria
Description: partial 16S ribosomal RNA
Rfam family: Bacterial small subunit ribosomal RNA
Source: RNAcentral
UACAGAGGGGGCAAGCGUUGUUCGGAAUUACUGGGCGUAAAGGGCGCGUAGGCGGCCUGCUAAGUCGAACGUGAAAUCCCCGAGCUCAACUCGGGAACUGCGUCCGAUACUGGCAGGCUUGAAUCCGGGAGAGGGAUGCGGAAUUCCAGGUGUAGCGGUGAAAUGCGUAGAUAUCUGGAGGAACACCGGUGGCGAAGGCGGCCCACUGGCUCGAUACUGACGCUGAGGUGCGAAAGCGUGGGGAGCAAACAGG